UUUUUAAAAUUUUAUUUUUUUGUAAAAAAGCUUAAAUUAAUUUUUAGGGACGAUAAGACCCUAUAGAAUUUUUUUAAUAAUUAAUUUUAAGUUUUUUAGGGUUUUAUUUACUUUUAAUUAUAGUUUAAUUUAAUUGGGGUGAUUAAUAAAUUUAACUUUAUUUUUUUUAUUCAUUAGUUUAUGAUUUAUUUGACUCAAAUUUUAGAUUGAAAGUUUAAAUUACCUUAGGGAUAACAGCGUAAUUUUAAUGGGGAGUUCAUAUUUAUAUUAAAGUUUGCGACCUCGAUGUUGAAUUAAAAUUAUUAAUUGGGGUAG
RNAcentral lists this ribosomal RNA (315 nucleotides) under Sochinsogonioidia falcata. RNAcentral describes it as "partial large subunit ribosomal RNA". Lineage: Eukaryota; Metazoa; Arthropoda; Insecta; Hemiptera; Cicadellidae. The record is from RNAcentral.